RNAcentral lists this ribosomal RNA (1540 nucleotides) under Apirhabdus apintestini. Its description in RNAcentral is "bacterial SSU rRNA". It matches the Rfam family "Bacterial small subunit ribosomal RNA". The record is from RNAcentral. Lineage: Bacteria; Pseudomonadati; Pseudomonadota; Gammaproteobacteria; Enterobacterales; Enterobacteriaceae.
UAAUUGAAGAGUUUGAUCAUGGCUCAGAUUGAACGCUGGCGGCAGGCCUAACACAUGCAAGUCGAGCGGCAGCGGAAAGAAGCUUGCUUCUUUGCCGGCGAGCGGCGGACGGGUGAGUAAUGUCUGGGGAUCUGCCCGAUGGAGGGGAUAACCACUGGAAACGGUGGCUAAUACCGCAUAACGUCGCAAGACCAAAGUGGGGGACCUUCGGGCCUCACGCCAUAGGAUGAACCCAGAUGGGAUUAGCUAGUAGGUGGGGUAAAGGCUCACCUAGGCGACGAUCUCUAGCUGGUCUGAGAGGAUGACCAGCCACACUGGAACUGAGACACGGUCCAGACUCCUACGGGAGGCAGCAGUGGGGAAUAUUGCACAAUGGGGGAAACCCUGAUGCAGCCAUGCCGCGUGUAUGAAGAAGGCCUUCGGGUUGUAAAGUACUUUCAGCGGGGAGGAAGGCUGGUGGCUUAAUACGCCAUCAGAUUGACGUUACCCGCAGAAGAAGCACCGGCUAACUCCGUGCCAGCAGCCGCGGUAAUACGGAGGGUGCAAGCGUUAAUCGGAAUUACUGGGCGUAAAGCGCACGCAGGCGGUCUGUUAAGUCAGAUGUGAAAUCCCCGGGCUCAACCCGGGAACUGCAUUUGAAACUGGCAGGCUUGAGUCUCGUAGAGGGGGGUAGAAUUCCAGGUGUAGCGGUGAAAUGCGUAGAGAUCUGGAGGAAUACCGGUGGCGAAGGCGGCCCCUGGACGAAGACUGACGCUCAGGUGCGAAAGCGUGGGGAGCAAACAGGAUUAGAUACCCUGGUAGUCCACGCCGUAAACGAUGUCUACUUGGAGGCUGUGGUCAUGAACCGUGGCUUCCGGAGCUAACGCGUUAAGUAGACCGCCUGGGGAGUACGGCCGCAAGGUUAAAACUCAAAUGAAUUGACGGGGGCCCGCACAAGCGGUGGAGCAUGUGGUUUAAUUCGAUGCAACGCGAAGAACCUUACCUGGUCUUGACAUCCACAGAAUUCUCCGGAGACGGAGAAGUGCCUUCGGGAACUGUGAGACAGGUGCUGCAUGGCUGUCGUCAGCUCGUGUUGUGAAAUGUUGGGUUAAGUCCCGCAACGAGCGCAACCCUUAUCCUUUGUUGCCAGCGAUUCGGUCGGGAACUCAAAGGAGACUGCCGGUGAUAAACCGGAGGAAGGUGGGGAUGACGUCAAGUCAUCAUGGCCCUUACGACCAGGGCUACACACGUGCUACAAUGGCGCAUACAAAGAGAAGCGACCUCGCGAGAGCAAGCGGACCUCAUAAAGUGCGUCGUAGUCCGGAUCGGAGUCUGCAACUCGACUCCGUGAAGUCGGAAUCGCUAGUAAUCGUGGAUCAGAAUGCCACGGUGAAUACGUUCCCGGGCCUUGUACACACCGCCCGUCACACCAUGGGAGUGGGUUGCAAAAGAAGUAGGUAGCUUAACCUUCGGGAGGGCGCUUACCACUUUGUGAUUCAUGACUGGGGUGAAGUCGUAACAAGGUAACCGUAGGGGAACCUGCGGUUGGAUCACCUCCUUA